This 488-nucleotide ribosomal RNA is filed under the name Salmonella enterica subsp. enterica. RNAcentral describes it as "bacterial SSU rRNA". It matches the Rfam family "Bacterial small subunit ribosomal RNA", at positions 1 to 480 of the family's 1533-position model. The record is from RNAcentral. Lineage: Bacteria; Pseudomonadati; Pseudomonadota; Gammaproteobacteria; Enterobacterales; Enterobacteriaceae.
AAAUUGAAGAGUUUGAUCAUGGCUCAGAUUGAACGCUGGCGGCAGGCCUAACACAUGCAAGUCGAACGGUAGCACAGAGAGCUUGCUCUCGGGUGACGAGUGGCGGACGGGUGAGUAAUGUCUGGGAAACUGCCUGAUGGAGGGGGAUAACUACUGGAAACGGUGGCUAAUACCGCAUAACGUCGCAAGACCAAAGAGGGGGACCUUCGGGCCUCUUGCCAUCAGAUGUGCCCAGAUGGGAUUAGCUAGUUGGUGAGGUAACGGCUCACCAAGGCGACGAUCCCUAGCUGGUCUGAGAGGAUGACCAGCCACACUGGAACUGAGACACGGUCCAGACUCCUACGGGAGGCAGCAGUGGGGAAUAUUGCACAAUGGGCGCAAGCCUGAUGCAGCCAUGCCGCGUGUAUGAAGAAGGCCUUCGGGUUGUAAAGUACUUUCAGCGGGGAGGAAGGGAGUAAGGUUAAUAACCUUAUUCAUUGACGUUACCC